This 411-nucleotide ribosomal RNA is filed under the name bacterium enrichment culture clone ALO1_GLFRUDD03G5TR6. RNAcentral's name for it is "bacterial SSU rRNA". It matches the Rfam family "Bacterial small subunit ribosomal RNA", at positions 9 to 416 of the family's 1533-position model. The record is from RNAcentral.
GAGUUUGAUCUUGGCUCAGAUUGAACGCUGGCGGCAUGCCUUACACAUGCAAGUCGAACGGCAGCACGGGAGCUUGCUCCUGGUGGCGAGUGGCGAACGGGUGAGUAAUGCAUCGGAACGUAUCCUGGAGUGGGGGAUAACGUAGCGAAAGUUACGCUAAUACCGCAUAUUCUGUGAGGCAGGGAAAGCGGGGGGACCUUCGGGGCCUCGCGCUCUUGGAGCGGCCGAUGUCGGAUUAGCUAGUUGGUGAGGUAAAGGCUCACCAAGGCGACGAUCCGUAGCAGGUCUGAGAGGAUGAUCUGCCACACUGGAACUGAGACACGGUCAGACUCCUACGGGAGGCAGCAGUGGGGAAUUUUGGGACAAUGGGGGCAACCCUGAUCCAGCCAUGCCGCGUGAGUGAAGAAGGCC